This 13309-nucleotide long non-coding RNA is filed under the name Cicer arietinum (chickpea). RNAcentral describes it as "long non-coding RNA (CARI_LNC000919)". The record is from RNAcentral. Lineage: Eukaryota; Viridiplantae; Streptophyta; Magnoliopsida; Fabales; Fabaceae.
GAUAUGAUGAAAGUCAUGAGGUUUAGGAGUUAUCCAUAGAAAACAAUGCAUUAUAACUUCAUCAGAAGAAAACUCACAUGCCGCAUACAAAAUAUCUUCAAUAGAACUUCUAUAAUGUCAUGGUUAUCAUAAAUUCAUUUAGCUCUAGAUUUUCUAAACCAGUAAGUUUCUUCCUCUAAGAGUAUAUAAGUAUAAUUUUUCAACAUAUUGUAAUAGAGCGUACUAAUCUUCUCCUCCCAUGUGAUAAGAAUAAUUUAGUAAUAGAACUUUCUGGAAAUGAAGUUUGCCAAGAGAGGUUACCCAUAGUUCUAUCUAACUUUUCUCUAAGAUCCUUGUGCAACUUAGUGAGUUUCGAUCCCUUAACACCCAAAUCAAUUAGAUUACAUUAGUUUAUGCAAUGGAGUAAUUUUGAAGCUCAAAUUGUGUUGAUAAGACCUCCUCCAAUUUUUUAAUGAUAAAAAAGAACUAUAUUCAAAACACAAGCUAAACACCAAGGAACAUUAGAAAGCGAAUGCAUAUCACAAAUCUCUUUCCGUAAAUCAUACACGAUAGAAAAAAACCAAAGAGAUUCAGACCGAAGAAAAACUUUUAACAAACACAUUGAGUAGAAGUAGAGAUCACAUCAAUAGUGAUGACAUUCAUCUUUCAAAGAUACCAAAUACCUUCAAAAAAAACAUGUGCCUCAACCCUAACCAUACCAACAAAGCCAAGUUACUCGAUCACAAAUAUUUGUAUAUUUUUAAUAUACAAAUAUGUGGCCCGUAUGUUUUAUUUAUCAAUAAUAAAGAUUUGUCCUUUUUUAUUUAUUUAUGAGUGAUAAAUAUUUAUUUUAAAAUUUUUUAUAUUUAUCAAUGAAAAAUAUCUGUCCUAUAUUUUUUUUAUGUAACAAUAACAUAUAUUUGUCUGUUUCUUUUAUAUAUUUAACAGUGAUAAAUAUUUGUUCUAUUUUUUUUUUUUAAAUUUACUAGUGACAAAUAUGUUACUCAUAUUUUUUAUGUAUCAAUUAUAAAUAUUUGUCUCAUGUUUUUUAUAAGUGAUUAAUAUUUAUUGCGUGAUUUUUAUAUUUAUCAGUGACAAAUAUUUAUUAUUUUUUUAUAUUAAUCAUUCACCGAUAUUUUUUUUUGAUUUUUUCCGAUAAAAAAUUUUCGAUAAAAAUUUUUUGAUUUUUUUUUAUAUAAAUGAUUUAUCUUUUUAAUAAUUUUUUUUUCACAAAAUUUUUUUAAAGUUUUUUUUUAUUUAUUAAUAUUAUUAAUGAAUUUUGUAAGGUUGGAUCGAUCAAAAGUUCCUAAUUUGACCAUCCUUAGAAUUCAACAAUAUUUAGUUAUAAUUUUCUAAAAAUAAUCACUCCUAAUAAUUAAUUGUUAUUUUUGUUAGAAAAAAAUUAAACUCGCGAGUUUGUGUCACCCUAACUCCACCAAAUGAUAUUAUGACUCAUUUAAUCAUAGUUUACUUUCAAUUGUCGAACUCUACAUUAUAUCUAAAAUUAUUUUGAAUUUAGAAAAAUACUUAAUCAUUUUAUUAACUAAUAUUAUGAUACGACAAAAAAAUUAUCAAAACAAACUUAAAUCAACUAUUAUUUUUUAAUUUUAAAAUAUAUAAAAAAAUUAUAUUAUUAAAAAACUUGUAUAACAAUAGUUUAUUAUAUUGUACUUUGUCUGAAAACCUCAACAUUCACCUUUUAAAAUUUCAAAUUAUAGUUAUUUUCUUCUUUCUUCGUUGGAGACGAAUAACUUUAGACCAUUUUUUUUUAUCUAUAAUCAUUUCUUUAAUUAUUUUUUUAUCUAAAUAAAUAGCUUCUACAUAAAUUUAUUUAUUUUUUUUUAUCUUUUUUGUGAUUUCAUCAUUUGGAAACAUUUUUUAGUUUUUUGUCUAAGUGCGAAUCUUUUUAAUUUUUUCGUCUUUGUACGGUAUUUAUUUUGGUUGAGAAAUUUCAAUAAAUAAAUUUAACGUCGUCAUAUUUAUUUUGGUUGAGAUAUAUAUUCCAAACCCCUAAAUUUUGUCAUAUUUAUUGAGAUGUUAUCGCAUUAUGUUAUAUUACUAUUUUACGCUAUAAACUUAAGGUAGGUGAAUUUGUUUGCAAAGUCAUUCUUAUUAUUUUUAACAAAGUUGAAUUUAUGUUGUAUAUAUGUAUUAUACCAUUUGAAUCAAUAAAUAUUGUUUAUUUUAAUAAAAAAAAUAAGAUUGUACUUUGUCUGACUUCUAAGCACAUAAUUUGAGUUCUGCAACCCCUCAUAAAAAAGUAUAAUUUCUCUACUAUGAAAUUGGGUUUGGUCUUCUAUGUUACAUCAUAAGGAAUUGAAGUACUCCUUAUACUCUAAUUAAUAAUUAUUUUACUUAUAGAAAAACAAGUAAUUUUGUUAUCAGUUUUAUUUACGACAUAUUUUGAUAUCAUUUAUUAUAUCUCAAAAUAUAAUUUUUCUUAUAAUUAAUUGAAGUAUGUCGGCAGGUAUUUCGUACCUAAAACAUGUUCAUAAAAGAUUAACUAAAUUUAUUUUUUUUUUUAAAUAUAAUUAAUUAAUUAAUUAUUUAAAUCUGUAUAAUAAUUUUCUCUAAUAUAUUUCUUAUAUUAUAUUAUUGAAAUUUAAAGAUAUACAUGUAUAAUAUACAACAUAUAUAAGGGUGUUCAAAUCCAAACCAAUUUGAAAAAGAACUGCAAAAUAAUCCAAAAAAAUAAAAAAAUGAAACCAAACAUUAUUAGAUGUAUUUGAAUAUUUUUUUAUUGAAUCUGAUUUCGGAUUGAAUUUUUAAAACCAAAGCAAACUGUAUAUAUACAUUUUUUAAUACUUAUUUAUUUUUUAUUAGUAUUAUAUAUUGCAUUACUCUAUUAUUUGUUACUUGUUAGCUUUAAUUUUUAUUAAUAAUUAAUAGUACUUAUUUAUUUAAUUUAACAUUUUUUUACAAUUGCAUGUAUUUCAAAUAUAAUCAAUCAAUAUUAUUUUAUAAUUUUAAUUUUUAAUAUAUUAAAUAUUAUAUUUUAUUUCAAUUUUAACGUAAAUUUAUAAUAAUAAUAAUAUUUAUGAUUGUAAUUUAGAUAACAAAAAUCAAUUCAAUUUAAAAUGCAUUUAUUCAGUUUGGAUCAUUUUUUUUUCUUCAAAUAUCAUCCAAACUAUAUCAAACUACAAUUAUUUUAAUUUUUAAAUCUAAAGAAUUUUUGCCUCGUAACGACUCAAACCGAAUCACAUCAAAGACACUCCUAAAUUACAACAUCCUCAAUAGUUUUUUUUCCGUAUAAAUUAGAUAUCCUACGAAUAGUAUUCUUUAUCAAGAACUUUAACUUUGUCAGAUUUUAGAGUUUAAUUUGAAUUUAACACUUCUAAUUAAACUUAAAUAGAUAUAAAUUAUUUCAUGAAAUGGUCAUGGUAACAUCCUAUCACUAGGUAGUUAUGAUGAAGCAAACAAACAUAUGAGAGAGAAGAAGUGGUAUCUCGUUUGGAAGAACACUUUAUAAUUUUUGGUAUCAAGUGUGUGAUGAAAACUGCAAGGAAGAAUAUACUAAGGCACUAUGAUGUAAGACCAUUUAUUAAUUGUAAUUAUUGAGAAAGGGGGAUGCAACCAGAUCUUGGAAAGUUUAUUUUAGUCAUCCACUUAUUUAGGAAAGUGAAAAUAUUGUACAUCAUUAAAAUGAGAAAAGCUAUUCAAAAAUCAAUUAUUUUAUUUGUAUAGUUAGACACGCGGCGCAUGAAAUCAGAUAUUAACAUAUCAGUUAUCACCUAUGUCUGUAUCAUACACAUUUCUUUACGAUUUAUAAUAACAAAAACUUGUCCAAAAAGUUGUCUUUUAAGACGAUGAUAUGCGAUUCGUUAAUACGCAUCUUUAAAUUUGGAUCUUCGAUUUCUUCAAAAUUAAUGUGUAUAAAUUUUGUUAUUAAAUUUCUUAAAAGAAAAAAAUUAAUUUUAUAAAAGAUAAAAUAUUAACUGAUAUACAAUUAUUUUACAUUGAUAUUCACGUACAACAAAUCAUUGUACAAUUAUUGUUUUAAAUAAUUAUAAAAAUAAUUUAACAUAUUAUAAAUUAAUAAUUAUUAUAUAUUGAUUGUUGAUAUAAAAUUAAUUUUUAUCCAAAAUCUAUUUUAUAAUAAUCACAAUAUAAAUGAUAACGUGAUUAUAAAUUUAAAAGAUGAUCAUAAAUAAAGUAACUCAUACUAAGAUGCUAGUAACAUGGAUUUCAUAUUAGUGAACUCUAUCAAAGACUAGUUAAAAAAUGAUAAGAUAAUUUUACAAAAACCAAAAUAAAGGCUUGAUUUAACUAUAAUUUUAUUAUCUUAAUUUUAUGAAUUUAUGAAAUUGAUCAUUUUAUCUUAUAAGUCAAUAAUUUCAGUUCAUUUUUUAAUUUUUAACUAAAAAAUAAAGACAUGACAUACUUUAAUUAAUGAAUCUAAAUAAUAUUAUAUUAUAAAAUUAUAUAUUAUAUUAUUUAAAAUAUUUUAAAUUAUCAAUUUUUUAAUUUAAAAAUUUAAAAGAGAUUAAAACUAUUAACUUUUAAAAUAAAGAGAUCAGUUUCAUGAAUUGAUAAAAAAAAAUUAUAAUUCUAUAAAUUAAUAAAAUUAAAUAGAUUAAAAUCGUAAUUAAACUUAAAAUUUAUUAAAAAUUUAAUUCUCUCGUUAAACAGCGUUUAAUUGUCAUGUGAACAUCGAAUAAGAGACUAAUGACUUUUCUUUCGUACAUACGUGGAGUUCGAGAGAGUACUUUUUCUUACUGUAGUUUGAAAAUACAUGCUGCUGCUGGUUCUAAUUACUACUAUUAUUUUCUAAAUAUUUUAUAAAUAUAUCUUUCGUAAAAUAAUGUGAAAUAUUAACUGUAUUUACUAAUAUUUUAAAAAAUAUAUACAAAGAUAAAAAAAUUCAUUUACAUAAUAAAUAUAUUUUUAAAAAUUACAAUUUUUUAUAAAUAAAACAAAAUAAUUUUUUUAAAAUUUCUUAUAUUUAUUGCAAUUUUUUAAAAUCACUAGAGAAUGAUCUACACAAGAGAAUGAUCUAUAUUUAUUACAAUUUUAUGUUCAAAGGAAACGUCAAUGUUGAUAAUCUUAAAGUAAAUUUAUUGAAAAUACAUGCAAUAUCUAUUGACUUUGGAGUAGAUAAUGAAUCACGGUAGAGUUGGUCUUUGACAAUUUGGGUGUUUUUGGCCAUUGGAUAAUUCAAUAAAGUGGUGUUCUUGUAAAUAUUGAAUAUCAUUUUAUUUUCAUUUAUUGUAAAAUUAUUAAUAAUUAUUUUAUAAUCAAAGUUUUCUUUAAAAAAAUAUUUAAUUUAUAUUAAUUUAUAAUUGUAACAAAGGCAAUACUAUUUUAGUAUAAUUUAUUUUUAGCUUAUUGCAAUUUUAAUUUCUUUAUUUUUAUCGAUUCAAAAAAUUGGUCCAUCUAUUUUAAAAGUUAUCAAUUUUAAUUCAUUUAUUUGUUUUUUAUUUUUUAACUAAAAAAGCCAACGUGACAUGUUUUAAAUAGUAAAAUAUAUAAUACAGUAAUGUAGAAUAAUUAAUACUGAUGAAUUCAGAAUAAAACACCGUAAAUAUUUAACUAUUACUUUAAGAAAUUUUUCAUAUUUAUAAUUUAAUAAAUGAAAUAUGAAUAAUUAAUACAUCUAGAUAUUUCUAUAUUAAGAAAUUGUAUGUCACGUCAUAUAAAAUAUGUCAAGUCGUCAUUUUUUUUUCAAAAAUUUGAAUGAGAGGCAAAAACCGUAGACUUUUCAAAUAAUAGAAUUAAUUUUGUGAAUUGAUAGAAAUAUAUUAAAAAAUAAUUGCAAUUAAACCUUUAUAUUUUUUAAUUAUAAAUAUGUCUGUUUCGACAACUUUAUAAUUUUUUAUUAAAAAUUUUAUCUUUUAAAAACUAUUCUUAAAUAAACUUCUAAUAACUACAUUGAGUAAUCUUCCUGCUAUUUUAUUUUUUCCAUUUUAAUUUUUUUAUUAGUUUUUUUUGUUAAAUUACAUCUGCGGUCCCUUAACUUAAUUUCAGGUAACGUUUUAGUCCUUUAUAUUUUUUUUCCCGAGUUGGUCCUUUAUUUUAAUUUUAAGUGACAAUUUGAUAUUUUAUGUUUAAAUAUCAACAAUGUUGUCCUUUUUUUUUCUUCAAAAAUUCAAAAAAAUCAUCAAAAUUUUCAAACAAAACCCAUAAAAUUCAUUAUCAUCUUCAAUAAAAUACAAAUUCAAUCAAAUUCAUAACUUAAAUCUUAAAAUAAACUCAUAUUUUAAUUCCUUAUUUGAUGUUGUUGGAGAUAAAAAUAUGAGUGUAUUUGAAUAUUUGAAUUAUGAAUUUGAUAAAAUUUGCAUUAUAUUGAAGAUGAUUAUUAAUUUUAUGGGUUUUGGUUGAAAAUUUUGAAGAUUUUUUUUGAAUUUUUGUAUAAAAAAGGAUAACAUUGUUGAAAUUUUAAAAUAUAAAAUAUCAAAUUGUCAUUUAAAAUUAAAAUAAAGGACCAACUCGAAAAAAAAAAUUAAAACGUUACCUGAAAUUAAGUUAAAGGACCACAAAUGUAAUUUAGGCUGAUUUUUCAUUGCAAUUAAGCAAUUUCAAUGACGGAUUUAUGUUUUAAAAAAAUUCAACAAAUGAUAUAUGGAAAUUCAAUAAUCAUUUAGCUCAAUAAAAAAAAUACACACGAACACAUGAGUGCCAGCCUAUUUUUUUAAUUAUAAAUAUCUCUGUUUCGGAUUAGGUCCAGUUUGGAUCAAUUACCUUUAAAGUUUUUUUUUUUAUUAAAAAUCUUAUCUUUUAAAAAAUAUUCUUAAAAAAACUUCUGAAAACUUCAUCUUUCUACAAUUUAUUUUCCUUUUCAUUGUUUACUUUUUUCUAUUAAUUUUUUCAUUGCAAUUAAGAAUUUCAAAGACAGGUUUAUUUUAAAAAAUCCAAUAAAUGGUAUAUAAAGAAAUUCAAUAAUUGUAAAUACAUUUUAGCGCAAUAAAAAAUGAUAACAAAUGAACACACAAGUGCCUAAGAUUUUAACAAUUUCAAUUUAUGUUUUAUCAAUAUAGAUAUCCAAGAACAAGAAUGAUAUAAAAUUUUAAUAAUUUCCAUUUAUGUUUUAUCUAGCAAGAUAUCUAAGAAAGGGACUAUUAUCCUAAUUAAAAUACAUACUUAAUUUUACAUUUGGUCUGUUAUAUUUAUUUUAGGUUUCACUUUAAUCCCUAUUAGAAUUUCGGUUGAACUCUUAAUGUGGGACUCUUAAGUCUUAACAAUCUAUAUAUUUUAAAAGAUUUAUAAAGGAAGUUUGAUAAAUCAUAUAAUUUACACUUUUUUGAAGUUAAAUUAUAAAAAUUAUAAGUAUGGCUGAUAGGUAGAAGUACAAGUACAAUCUUCCUGAUGCGUGGUCAAGAAAAUCGGCUAAUACGACCUUUGAGCUCUUAUAAAAGGCAAGUUAUUAGAUAGACAUACCAUACUGUUCACAACAUUAUAAUUAUAUACUUUUUUUCAUGUAGAAUUUUCCUUUUCAAAAGAAAAAAUGAAUAUCUCACGUGUCAUAGAAGGUGUGACUUGUCAAAAAUGGUGUAGAGAGCGUGUAUAGGGUCAAAAAGAAUGUAUAAAGAUAUAUAAAUGGAUAUAAAAUUUUGUCACCGAUACGAGAUACAAUACUGGCUUAAUACGGCCUUUAAGUUCUAAUAAAAGGCAAUAUUAUUAGUACUACUUUUUCUUUUUACAUAAAGAGUUCAAGACGUGUCAUUCAUGAUAAAGGUACGUGAUUUAAUGGGUAACUACCACUUUUGUUGUAAGAUUAUCGUUGAUUUAGCUAUAAUUUUUAUAUUAGUCAUUAAAUGAUUAGAAUGAUCUUUGAAAAUAUAACUUACUGUUAUAAAAUCUUUAAAAUAUAAAAUUUAUUGUUAAAAUAGUAUGUAUUUAUUAUCAUGUUAUAAAUUAAAUUGAUUAAUAUUUUAAUAAUUAGAUGACAAAUUUAAAUUUUUGACUCAAUUAAAGACUAAAAUAAUAACGCUUUACAUUUUUAGAAACUAAAAUAAUGAUUUAAUAUUUCAAAACUAGUGGUUCAAAGAGUUGUUGUUAUUAAGAAUAACAUGAUCAAAGUAAUCAUAUAAGAAAAAUAAAUUUUGGAACUUGAUGGAAAAAAAGUAAUAUAAGGUUUCAUAUAUAUGGAAUAAAAAUAAAGAAAUUGAUACAUUGAGUUCUCCAUAUAAAGAGAAAUUAACUACCAAACUAAAAUCUAACAAACUAAUUGAAAAACUCUAACUAACAUUAUAUUUCUUCUAACAUCCUCCACAAAACUCAGAGUAAGAUGUCAUUAAUUUGAGUUUGGAUUAUAUUAUUCAUCCAGACACCCAUGACAAACUAAAGUCUGGUCCGUUUGUCGACUUGUCAUUCCUCACUUCGUCCACAACAAGUUUCGUAACACAAUUAUAAGGUAUUUGAGAACAAUAGACAAAUAAACAGGAGAACCGUAUCCGACACGCUGCACAUAACAAUAGACUUUUCUUGACCUGGAGAUUAAUUAGUUUUAGGUUUUAGUUUUAAGGUUUUGAGGUAAGAUGUGAUAUUCAAUUCACUUGUUUGACUGCUCUUAGUCGAAUGUGGUGAUCCCACAAACUCCUUUAUGAUCCCACAAAUUUCACUGUUGUAUAUUUUCCGGAAAAAUUGAAAUAAAUUUUCCAAUACUUCCGAAAAACUUUAAAAAAGAUUUAUAUGAGGCAUUUAUAUCUUUUCCUUUAGUUUGUAUUGGUACAGGAACAAUUUGGAAGGAAAAUUUUCCCUUGUACCCACUCAUUUAUCCCUAUACUCCCAAAAGUAAAGGAAAAAUACUAAAAUACCCUCAUAUAUAUAUAAAUAUUUUUUUUUAAUUUCUUCAUUUAACAUUUCCGGAACAGAAACAACAAGCAAAAAAAAAAAAUUCCGGAAAACUUCUUUCAAGUUUUCCGGUACACAACUUUUCCGGAAAACUUGAAAAAAGUUUUCCGGUACAGAACAUCAUUUUCGAAAAACUUCAACGUAACAUUUCCGGAAACCACCGAAAAACUUCAUGCACAUGUUUUCCGGUAGUUGUUUGAUUUUUUUUUUAAAUAUUUUUUAAAAUAAUUUUUUUGUUUUAUUUUUUUUAUUAUAUUAGUAUUUAUUUGAUUUUAACUAAGAUCUUGUUAAGGAAGUAGUAUUAAUUAUUAAUUAUGGUGUAUUAAUUAUGAAUUAUUAUGGUAUAUUAAUAGUGUAUUAAUUAUUGAAUGGUGUAUUAAUUAUUAAUUAUUUAUGGUAUAUUUAUGUGUGUUAAUUAAUAUUUAUGAUGCGUUAAUUAUUGACUAAUGUAUUAUCAUUUAUAAAAGUAAUAAAAUUAAAAAAAAAAUUAAAAAAAUGUUGUGUACCGGAAAUCUUUUUGAGAAAGUUUUCUGGAAACACCUUCUGUACCGGAAAUCUUUGGAAUGAAGUUUUCCGGUAGUACAAUUUUUCACUUCUGUAUCGGAAAUCUUUUUUAAAGUUUUCCGGUAACAACUUUCUGUACCGGAAAACUUGAAAAAAGUUUUCUGAAAAUAAGGUGUGUACCGGAAAUCUUUUUUGUAGUUCCGGAAAAGAAUAAAUUAUAAAAAAAAAAAAAAAAAAAUUAAUAAGGGCAUAAUUGUCAUUUUCAAAAAAUUAUGGGGGUAUAGGUAUAAAAAUGGGGGUACAGGGGAAAUUUUUCAUUUGGAAGAUAUAGAGUAAAAUUUUCUUAUUAUAAGCAUUUCAUACAAUACACGGCCCAAUGCAUUUUUGGCGAUGUUCAAACCAUACGGUAUACCAUCCAACAAAAACUAUCCGAACUAAUUAUAAGCAUUUUAUAUAGUACACGGCCCAAUACAUUUUUGGUGAUGUUAAAAACCAUAUAGUACACAACCCACCAAUAUCCAAAGAUUAGGAAGUCUUAAUCAAUAUCCCACCGUUAAAAUUUAGGAUUGAAUAUGUUUUUAGAUUUUAUAGAAUUUUAAAUUUUCAAUUUUAGUAAUUGUAUUUGUAAGUUAAGUUAUAACUCAACUGACAAAUGUCAAAAUUAUUUGGUUAAAUAUUUUGUUUAUGGUUCGAACUUAAGUCGCAUUUGUGUAUGAGUUUUUGGUGCUAUUUACAAUUAUGUCUACUAACCCAAAAAAAUUACAACUUUUAAUCGUAGAAAAUAUCAUGCAUAUAGUUUUAAUCUUUACUGUUAAAUCAACGUAUAUUUUUAAAAGAUUUUUUGCAGAUAUUUUAACAACAUUAUAAAAAGUUUGUAAACAAAAAUUAAGCUCAAAAUUUAAUUUCUAGUCCAUAUUUUUAUUACUUUUAUCUUAAGUUUUUUAUAUUUAAAAAAUUUAUAUUUAAUUUAUCGAAAGUUAAAAAUAAAUCUUAAUUUUUGUAAAUGAACUUUUUAUAAUAUUAUAAAAAUAAUUACGAAAAAUCAUUCGAAAAUUUUGUGAAUGCAUAGAUUUCCUAGUUGUUCUAGUCUAAGUUUUAUCUUUGAUUUCGAUGAUUGUUUCUUAAGUUAGAUUUAGAAUCUAUACAUGUCUUUGUUGAUUUCACUUAUCCACCUUAUGCUUGAGCAAAAAGUAACUCGAGGAAAUUGACAUUUGAAUCAUGCAUAGUUAAAUGCUUCAUUAACACUCUUUUAAAUUUAUUACUUCUCAUUUCAAAUGAUUUUACACAUGUUUUUUGAAUCUGUUUGAAUAGAUUCAAGGAAUGUUUGAAUAUAUUCAAACCGUAAGUCUUAACAGAUUUAGUGUUUCCUUGAUUUGAAUCAAGCAUUAGUUAGGGAAACUCCUUGAAUCGAUUCAAUGUUUCAUUGAUUUGGAUCAAGUUUGUCCAUGAUUUCUUGAAUCCAUUCAAAGAUUAUUUGAUCUAUAUCACAUUAAAAAAAAAGUUUUGUUUUUUGUUCUUUUUUUUUCAAUGUUAGUUUCUUACACCCAUAAAUAAUCAUCUUGGAACUUUUAAUAAUUUAACAUUCUGAAAUUCAUCUCAAUAUUUUCAACCUCUCAAGUUAAAAAAAUUUAUUGAAAGGGGUUUUUUAGAGGGAUUUGAAUCUUCAUCAUUGAAAGAGAGCUUUCUUGUUGAAGAUUGCAAAAUGUUGAUUUUGGAGUUGUCAAAAUCAAGUGCUAGAAGUGGGAUUCAUAGAAGAAACUCUCAUAAAAGAAUCUUGUAUUAUUGCACAACUAUGUUAAUGGAAGAAACUCUCAUCAAAAUUUGGUUUUAUAUCUUAACUCUAUCCUUCUUUAAUUUUCUGCAUUGAAAUGACAAUUUGUGUACAGAUAAAUUCUGAUUUUUGUGUUCUUGAGAAAUUAUGAAGUGUUUAAAACAAAAUUUUAUUUUCUUAAUCAAUUCAUAUUGAAGAUAUUAAUACAAUUGUUUCAAGUUUUUUUUUUUUGUUAAUGUGCUAUGCUGAAUUUUUCUGUAAUCAUUCAUUUGUAGAGUUGAUUGAUUCUAUAUUUAUACAAUUACUAAGUUAACUGAAUUUCCUUUCAAUUAAAUUUUCAAUUUAUUUAUUCACAACCUUUAUCUAAAUUGGUGUUUAGCAAUUCGAAGAAAUAUUUUUUUGUAAAGUAUCAAGCAUGUGUAAUCGAUUCAAUAUUUUUAAAAAUUAUGUUUUUUUUUCUUUUUUUUUGAAAUCCUAUUCUCGCCUCUAGAAUUUUGGUGCCUUUACAACUAACAAUUUUAAAUUUGAAAAAUAAUUAAAUAUGUUUCUUUUCACAACUAACAAUUUUUAAAUUUAAAAAAUAAUUAAAUAUGUUUCUUUUCGACAGAUAAUAAAAUAGUUUAUUGAUAAUUUUAAAAGAACUGAAAGUUGUAUUUUUUUUUACAGUGACUAUAAUUGAAAAGUUAGAAUUUUAUAGAGACUAAAACGAUGCAUCAUAACUCUACAAUUUAUUGGGUUAGCAACUUAUUUCCAAUAAAUUUUAAAUGUUAAUUAGAUAAUUAACCUAACUUAGUCACGAUUCAAAGAUGAAUGAUUCAUUUUCGUAUAAAUCUAUCAGUCGUCGAACUUUUUGAGCUGAUCUAUUUUGCCUGCCAUUUUAGGCGGUUUGAGUUAAAGAUUUUAAUUCAUCUAUCUAAAUUGGUCAAUUUCGUUUAUAUAGUUACACGUUUAACUGUAUAAAUAAACUAAGAACCUAAUAAAAAAUGGUAGGUCAUUCAUUACUAAGUAAUUAAAAACACUUUAGUAUUUUAAGUUGAUGUACAUAAUAUUAAUUAAAGUAUAGGGUAAAAUAAUAAUAAUAAUAAUAAUAAUAAUAAUAAUAAUAAUAAUAAUAAUAAUAAUAAUAAAUAUUACAUUUAAAUUAAAAAAUAUAAUUCAUUUUAGAAUGUUUUUGUUAUAAAAAAUACGACAAUUAUUGUGGCGGAAAGAGUAACUUAUUCCAUAUAUAUAUAUAAAGCAACUAAUGAUAGGAAAUUAAAUCAGAUUUCACAGGUCCAGCUAUUAAAUGACAUUUGAAUUUAAGAUAUCAAUUAAUUCUAAUAACAAACUAAAACGUUCAUAUAGGCUUGUAAUAGUAGUAUUAAUUUGACUAUUAGGUAUAAAAUGUGGUUGGUGACUAUAAGCUAGGGUCAUGCAAUGGCAUAUGCUCAACAACUCAUUAGCAUCAACCUCCUUAUAAAAAUGAGAACCCACAUAAUUAAUUUUGUGUAGAAAAGAGAGAGAGAGAGAAUAAGAUAAUAUCAAAUUAAUGGGUAAGUGGUUGUGCAUCUUGGUGGUUUUGGCUAUGGUCGUGGUUGCAACAAGUGCAAGGAAUGUGCCCAUUGGAGGCACUAAUUUGAAGGAACAAAAAUGCAUUGGCAGGUUUGGUACUGGUGUAGGUGCUGAUCUUGGUAUGCCCCUAAUUGGUGGCCUUGGUGGUUUCGGUGGAACUGCUUUUACCGGCCGUCGUAUUCCUCAACCUUGAAUUAUGGCUUUAACUUAUUUUCAUUCUCGUCUUGAAUAUAAAAAAAUAUUUAAUCAAUAAAAAUUAAUAUAUUUAGUAUAAAAUUUAUACUAAAUAUAUUUAUUUUUAUUGAUUUACUUUUUCUUAUAUUUGAGAUUGAAUAAAUUAUAUAUAAUAUCAUAUAUGGCAUCUUAUUAUUAUUAUAAGAGAAUAAAAUGAUUAGUAUGAUGUCAUGAUUAAUGUUUUAGUGUUUUAUGAUUUUUUGCCAAGAAAAAAGAUCAGUACGUACUAGCUUGUUUUUGUAAUGUAUGGAUGUGUUGUUCCUUUUUAUGUAAGGGAAGAUAUAUUAUGCAUGAUUUCACCUUCUUAUGAUAUGAAAAAAUAACUUUAUUUUUUCCUAGAUUCACCAUGAACCCAUCAAUGAUUGUCACCCUUCUCUAUGGAACACAGUUCAAGGUCAAAACCUUCACAACCACCUAGGACAAGGACACAUCACACAUUAACUAUAAAACUGGAAAUAUAUCCAAUUCCAUGAGGACUUU